CGCCAGGUUGAUUCUGCCUGACGUAGACGCUAUUCCCUAAGAUUAACCCAUGCAUGUUUUUGACAUUUGAAAAAUGGACUGCUCAGUAAUACUCACUUUAUUUUAUGUAAAUUUUUGAUUAAUUAACUACGUUAAAGUGUAGAUAAGAUGUUUACAGUAAGAGUGAGACCUAUCAGCUAGUUGUUAAGGUAAUGGCUUAACAAGGCUGUGACGGGUAACGGUAUUACUUUGUAAUAUUCCGGAGAAGGAGCCUGAGAGACGGCUACUAAGUCUAAGGAUUGCAGCAGGGGCGAAACUUGACCUAUGGAUUUUAUCUGAGGCAGUUAUGGGAAGUAAUAUUAUAUUGUUUCAUAUUUUAAAAGUAUAUGAGGUGAUUAAUUGGAGGGCAAAUCAAGUGCCAGCAGCCGCGGUAAUACUUGUUCCAAGAGUGUGUAUGAUGAUUGAUGCAGUUAAAAAGUCCGUAGUUUAUUUUUUUAAGAAGCAAUAUGAGGUGUACUGUAUAGUUGGGAGAAAGAUGAAAUGUGACGACCCUGACUGGACGAACAGAAGCGAAAGCU
Molecule: ribosomal RNA, 557 nt
Filed under: Vairimorpha ceranae
Lineage: Eukaryota; Fungi; Microsporidia; Nosematidae
Description: SSU rRNA
Rfam family: Microsporidia small subunit ribosomal RNA
Source: RNAcentral